AAAAGGGGUGUGUUAUUCACAUUUUGAUAGCAUGAGAUAGAUUUAAGCGUACAGCACAGAGUAAGCCAAGGCACUUUCUAUGGUUGUCCAGUGAGAUUGUGGGAAAAGGGCUCAUCUUUCCAUAAGCCUAUAUAUAACACGUGAAACUACAUAACCCCCAGAGGUAGUUGCCAGUACUAGUACUUACUCCAUUGUUAUUGAAGCUGUCGUCACCCACAUUGUUGCCAUCAAAGCUGCCUCUAUUCUGCAAGAAAAAGAUAUAAUUUUAUAUAUCCCCACAUGAAAAAGAUACAUUUUUUUUAUAUGUAUUACAGCCCUGCCAAAGCCAAUCAAAUGAUUCAGCAGCUCUGCAGCUACUUCACAACAGCUGGGGAUCCACCCAUUGACUCCAGUGGGAUUAUGCCUGAUAUAUAUCAGGUUAUGUCAAGAGAUGCCGAGAUACUUCAGCAAAUAGGAAACAAGUCACAACCACAGUGAUCUUGAACACAGAAAGCCACAUCAUCUUAAGUAGGAGGGAGAGGAGGCUGACUGGGCACACGUGCGGGCUCUUAGCACACGUGUGCCCCCUGCAACGUACCUGAGGCGGCAGAGGCUGAGAAGCAACAGCGGGGGCAGCAGCAGCUGAUCCCCCGAAGGUAAGCGGGGCAGGAGCCGGUGCAGCUGCAGAGGAUCUGGAGGGGAAGCCCCCGGAUCCCUCUUUGCUGAGCCGGGCAGGGAGUCGCGUGUGAACAGAGCAUGCAAACAGGUGCGCUCUGUAAGGGCGCUCUGGCGUUUGCAGCGGCGUUCGCGCAGGCAGAAGCAGGCAGGGCAGCAAGAGAGGCUUCCCAGGAGGGAGGAGACUCCACCAAAAAGGAAGGAGGUAAGGACUACCUACAAGCCAUGGUGAGGACUCGCAGUGCUGCCAGGGGUCCUGCCUCUGUGGUGCCACCCUUCCGGGGCUCCUCUGAGGCUGCCACCCAGACGGAGCCCUUGGGGGGCCUGGUGACCACCUGCCCCCGAGCUGUGGGGGUGGCUGGUUGGGAUCCCUGGGGGUGGGACUGAGGUCUGGUGACUCCCCGACCUGCCCCUCUUGUGAGCACCUUCAAGCUCUGGAGGGGCAGGUGGCAGAGCUCCAGGCCGAGGUGAGCAUGCAGCGGGGGAUCCAGACAGUGGAGGAUGAAAUUGACCUGUAUUUCCAUUCUCUGCAGGGACAGGAAUCCACCAGAGAGACCCCGCGUGCACAGCACCCAACUAAUCGGUGGCAGCAGGUACCUGUCAAGGCCAGGGCAGUCCGAACAACUGCUGUGCCUGCUCCCCAGACACCCCUCGGGAACAGGUACGCAGCCCUGGCUGCCCUGGAGGAGGAGGCAGAAGAACUGGUCCCCAGAGGAACUGAAGCCGCUUGACCUACAUCAGUGGCUCAGAAGAGGCAUACCCCGAGAAGAAGGAGAUGCAAAGUUCUGGUCAUCAGGGACUCCAUCCUGAGGGGAACCAAUGGUCCGAUCUGUCGCCCAGAGCCCUGUACACGGCAGGUCUGCUGCAUGCCUGGAGCGAGGAUUCGCAAUGUCACAGAGACCAUUGCUAAAAUCAUCAAGCUGUCUGACUACUACCCACUGGUUGUGGUCCAUGUGGAUACAAAUGAUACAUCCAAGAGCAAGCUGGAUAACAUCAUGGAGGACUACAAGGCCUUGGGACACCAACUGAAGAGGUUGGGAGCUCAGGUGGUAUUUUCCUCCAUUCUCCCAGUAAGUGGACGGGGUAGGCGUCAUGAGACCUGCAUUGACAUGGUUAACCGGCGGCUUCAGAGCUGGUGCCAUGAGGCAGGCUUUGGGUUUUUUGACAACGACCCAGGUUUUUGUAAGGAGGAUAUGCUGGGGUGGGAUGGGCUUCACCUCUUCCCUAAUGGCAGACGUAUCUUUUCCUCUAGGUUGGCUAAUCUCAUACGGCGGGCUUUAAACUAGCUUCGCCGGGGAAAGGGGCCGCUUCGAGUGGAGAGGAUGCUUCACCAGCACGCAGGGUGACAAGAGGAAGGGAAGCACAGGGACCGGGACUCGCCCACCGUGAUUCAAGAUGGACCCGAGGGGAAUGCCUCAAGACCUAAGGUUGAGGAGGACCGGGCUAGAGUGCUACUGGAGGGGCUGGAUGUGUUCAAAUCAGCAGGUCCAGAUGCUCUCUACCCCAGGGUUUUGAGGGAGCUAGCAGGGGUUAUUGCUGGGACCUUGGCAUGGCUUUACAAGCGCUUGUGGUGCUUGGGCCAGGUGCCAGAUGAUUGGAAGAUAGCCAGUGUGGUCCCCA
Molecule: long non-coding RNA, 2274 nt
Organism: Alligator mississippiensis (American alligator)
Lineage: Eukaryota; Metazoa; Chordata; Crocodylia; Alligatoridae
Exons: 4
Source: RefSeq, a predicted model, not a curated record